AUAACUUUCUCGACCUUUUGGCUAAGUUCAAAUGUAGUAUCGGUUCUUAUCGGUUUAAUAUAUGAUGUGCGGAUCAUCGGCUCACACGAUAUUAACUCAAAUCUUUUAAGGGGGAGGGCUCGUCAAAGUAGUUUGCUACUUGGGCCUUCGCGUGUCGCCUUGGUCUUGCACUAUUGCUUGGGCCUGGCGCACCCCAC
Molecule: small nuclear RNA, 197 nt
Organism: Lycium ferocissimum
Lineage: Eukaryota; Viridiplantae; Streptophyta; Magnoliopsida; Solanales; Solanaceae
Product: U2 spliceosomal RNA
Exons: 1
Source: RefSeq, a predicted model, not a curated record